Molecule: ribosomal RNA, 253 nt
Filed under: uncultured bacterium
Lineage: Bacteria
Description: partial 16S ribosomal RNA
Rfam family: Bacterial small subunit ribosomal RNA
Source: RNAcentral
UACGUAGGGUGCGAGCGUUACUCGGAAUUACUGGGCGCAAAGCGUGCGCAGGCGGUUUUGCAAGCCGGAUGUGAAAUCCCCGGGCUCAACCUGGGAAUGGCAUUCGGGACUGCAAGGCUGGAGUGCGGCAGAGGAGACUGGAAUUCCUGGUGUAGCAGUGAAAUGCGUAGAUAUCAGGAGGAAUACCGAUGGCGAAGGCAGGUCUCUGGGCUGACACUGACGCUCAUGCACGAAAGCGUGGGGAGCAAACAGG